GAGAAACCUUCCCAUAUAUUAUUAAAGAAAAUGCUAUUUCGGAGCCUUGAAACAAACAAGCCGGAUCCUCAUCAACUAAAAAGGUCCCAACAGUUUUAAGUUAUGAGAAGACACUGUUUCUCUUUCAUCAAAUAUUCAUUAACAGAGCAUCCAUCGCUCCAAAUUCUAUCUUCACUUCAUCUCUCUCACCGUCUCCUUUAUGCCACCCAUCUAUACUCUUCCCACACACGCUAACACCCUUGUUUCUCUCCUUUCUCUCCCUCUCCAUGAUCGUACUUCCCUUCCCAUGGCAAACCCAAUUGGUUUCUGAUUUCCCUCAUUCUUUCUGCUUUAAUCAUUUAGUCGUAUUUCUCUUUCUUCAAUUUCAUUGUUUCAUUUGAUAGUUGACUGGAUUUCUUGAACGGCAAAUCUGAUGAAUCAAAGACGGCGGCAGAACGGUGAUUGUUCAAUGUAGAAGACCUAUCAUAGCAUGAUGGCUUACAAAGGAUUAGACAUGAAGUAGCACCAAGAUAAAAAUAAUCUGAAUCAAGUUUUGAAGGAAGGAGCUGAAACAAUGUUCAAGCAGAUUGCAUGGGCUUACGAUGCUCUUAGUGAUCCAAGGAAAUGUAAGAUAAUAUGGUUAUAACCACAUCAAGGACAUAAGUGAUGUAGAUAAGUUAGGGAUUUAUGAAGAGGAGACUACAAAGAUGGUUGAGACUACGAGAACAAAAUUAAUGAGUAUC
RNAcentral lists this long non-coding RNA (722 nucleotides) under Medicago truncatula (barrel medic). Its description in RNAcentral is "lncRNA gene50106". Lineage: Eukaryota; Viridiplantae; Streptophyta; Magnoliopsida; Fabales; Fabaceae. The record is from RNAcentral.